This 167-nucleotide ribosomal RNA is filed under the name Metarhizium guizhouense. RNAcentral describes it as "5.8S ribosomal RNA". It matches the Rfam family "5.8S ribosomal RNA". From Rfam's summary of the family: 5.8S ribosomal RNA (5.8S rRNA) is a component of the large subunit of the eukaryotic ribosome. It is transcribed by RNA polymerase I as part of the 45S precursor that also contains 18S and 28S rRNA. RNAcentral also lists the same sequence under 1 other name. The record is from RNAcentral. Lineage: Eukaryota; Fungi; Ascomycota; Sordariomycetes; Hypocreales; Clavicipitaceae.
AACUUUCAACAACGGAUCUCUUGGUUCUGGCAUCGAUGAAGAACGCAGCGAAAUGCGAUAAGUAAUGUGAAUUGCAGAAUUCAGUGAAUCAUCGAAUCUUUGAACGCACAUUGCGCCCGUCAGUAUUCUGGCGGGCAUGCCUGUUCGAGCGUCAUUACGCCCCUCAA